This is a non-coding RNA of Pelobates cultripes (western spadefoot toad), 242 nucleotides long. NCBI's taxonomy places the organism in Eukaryota, Metazoa, Chordata, Amphibia, Anura, Pelobatidae. The record is from the annotation of a GenBank genome assembly.
CGUUAGGGCCCCAACACAGCACAGCCCCAUAGCACCAACUGCCACGACAGACAUGGCACUGGACCGCAAAGGCCAGAUAACAAACAGGACCAGAGGCGGGACCCCACACCGCAUGGCGAUGGGACAAACCCCGAAGACACUAGGCCUUCACCCCAGGCUCCCCCCCCCCGACUAAACAACUGAAACCCAACACAAGCAGAGAGGGAGCUAACAGUGAGAAUACCCACUCCCCCCCACCUACG